This 358-nucleotide ribosomal RNA is filed under the name Haptophyta environmental samples. RNAcentral's name for it is "SSU rRNA". It matches the Rfam family "Eukaryotic small subunit ribosomal RNA", at positions 595 to 957 of the family's 1831-position model. The record is from RNAcentral. Lineage: Eukaryota; Haptophyta.
UAGCGUAUAUUAAAGUUGUUGCAGUUAGAACGCUCGUAGUCGGAUUUCGGGGCGGGUCGACCGGUCUGCCGAUGGGUACGCACUGGCCGACGCGUCCUUCCUUCCGGAGACCGUGCCUACUCUUAACUGAGCGGGGGCGGGAGACGGAAUUUUUACUUUGAAAAAAUCAGAGUGUUUCAAGCAGGCAGCUCGCUCUUGCAUGGAUUAGCAUGGGAUAAUGAAAUAGGACUUUGGUGCUAUUUUGUUGGUUUCGAACACCGAAGUAAUGAUGAGAAGGGACAGUCAGGGGCACUCGUAUUCCGCCGAGAGAGGUGAAAUUCUCAGACCAGCGGAAGACGAACCACUGCGAAAGCAUUUG